This 1587-nucleotide long non-coding RNA is filed under the name Pelobates cultripes (western spadefoot toad). Lineage: Eukaryota; Metazoa; Chordata; Amphibia; Anura; Pelobatidae. The record is from RNAcentral.
UUUCUGUGUUUUGAUCACUGCAGACAGUGAUCAAAGGGCAGGGAAGUGGUUAAAUUUUAUUUGAAAGAGGUGAGGGGGGUGGGAUUUUAUUACUAACACUUUUUUUUUUUGAGAGAUCUGUCUCUCUGCACUUCACAGUUCACAGGGAGCGGCAGGGAGACAGAUCAGGAGACAAACUACACAAUUGCAGCAAUCUGGGGUUAAUUUUAGUCUUGGACAGAAAUUUUCCAUCCUGGUCCUUAAGGGGAGUGCUGCAAUGAAGGAAAAUUUCUGUCCAGCGUCCUUAAGGCGUUAAAGAUAGUUAGAAAAACAGACCUACACCUCCCAACAUUUCAAAUGGGAAAAGAGGGACAGCUUGAUUUUAGAGCUCUGAGUGGGUAUUUGGCCAGGGUUUGGGCUCCUCCUGAGAAAUUUUAGUGGACUUAAUAAUAACAAGUUAUGCACCUAAAAUGUAAUUUCGAACAAAAACAAUGUAUUUUUAUUUAGAGAGAAUCAUUUCUAAACACAUCUAGUGAAGUUAUACACAUUAGUGUGAGUAUUAUUGCUGUGGAACUCUGUUAUACACUCCAACACAAAAACAAAAUGGAGCUCCUAGAAAAGAGGAACAAAUGGAUUUGGGCCCAAAAUAGGGACUGUUCUUCCUAAAUAGGGACAUUUGUUCACCCUCCAUCCCCUUUCUUCCAUUGCAUCCUGCAUCCUGGUCAAUUUAUCAGUAUUCACGUUUUGAGAAAUAGCUCCUCUGUGGUUUGUAAUGGCUUACAUAAAAUGUUACCAGGAAUCAAUGCAACCUGUACACAAGGACUAAUUGUAGAUCACUGAUUGGAAUUAUUACUGCUCUAGGUCAGAAACUUUAUUGGAGGGCCAUAACGAAGGGAAACACAUAUGGAAACCAAGACGUACAUGUCUGGUAUGCCUGUUCACAGCCCUAAAUUACCCAAAGACGACACAAAAAAAGAGACUCCUUGUCUAGACAGAAAAUGGAAUAAUGCACCUUAGGCCCUCACCACAGGAAAGCAUUGAAGCAAUUUUACAGAUGUUGCAUGUCCUCAUGCAGAACGUGAGAAUGUCCAGCAUCAGUUUGGUGACCUAAAGUCGCCUAGGAAGCACCUCUAGUGUUUAUCUGGUAGACAGCCACUAUAGACUAUCUUAGUGCUGCAAAGUAAACAUUGCAGUUUCUCUCAAAGUGUGACAGGGAAAAUGCAAACCGACCACUCUAAUGAGCUCAAGUGGUCUGGGUGUCUAUAGUGUCCCUUUAAAUCUAAAAAUAAUAUGAUACAAAAUGGCAAGAGGCAAACACUGCCAGAGAAAAAAGUCACAUUGGAGUGUUACUUGGUCAGUGGGUGUGAAAGGGAUAUACAGUCGUUAUAAUAUUGGGGUUUUGGUAAAACAUACAUACAAAUAAAUAUAUAAUCAUGGUGAGUAUACUUUUCUAUUACAUUACCCCAAUAUAUUAUUUAAAUCUGAAGCAGACACACUAAUUUAAAUAAUUUUAGAGGCGUUCACAAGAUAGAGAAAACUUCCUCCGAGAAAAAUUAUACACACUCAUGGAUCAAUAAAGAUUCCAUAGUAGAAUUAAUUAUCCUCAAA